CCUCAGUAACGGCGAGUGAAGCGGUAACAGCUCAAAUUUGAAAUCUGGGUCUUUCAGGCUCCGAGUUGUAAUUUGUAGAAGAUGCUUUGGGUGCGGCCCCGGUCUAAGUUCCUUGGAACAGGACGUCAUAGAGGGUGAGAAUCCCGUAUGUGAUCGGUGGCUUGCGCCCGUGUAAAGCUCUUUCGACGAGUCGGGUUGUUUGGGAAUGCAGCUCUAAAUGGGUGGUAAAUUUCAUCUAAAGCUAAAUAUUGGCCAGAGACCGAUAGCGCACAAGUAGAGUGAUCGAAAGAUGAAAAGCACUUUGGAAAGAGAGUUAAACAGUACGUGAAAUUGUUGAAAGGGAAGCGCUUGCAACCAGACUUGCGCGGGGUUGAUCAUCCGGGGUUCUCCCCGGUGCACUCGGCCUCGCUCAGGCCAGCAUCGGUUUCGGUGGUUGGAUAAAGGCCUUGGGAAUGUGACUCCUCUCGGGGAGUGUUAUAGCCCUCGGUGCAAUGCAGCCUACCGGGACCGAGGACCGCGCUUCGGCUAGGAUGCUGGCGUAAUGGUUGUAAGCGACCCGUCUUGAAACACGGACCAAGGAGUCUAACAUCUAUGCGAGUGUUUGGGUGUCAAACCCAUACGCGUAAUGAAAGUGAACGGAGGUGAGAACCCUUAAGGGUGCAUCAUCGACCGAUCCUGAUGUCUUCGGAUGGAUUUGAGUAAGAGCAUAGCUGUUGGGACCCGAAAGAUGGUGAACUAUGCCUGAAUAGGGUGAAGCCAGAGGAAACUCUGGUGGAGGCUCGCAGCGGUUCUGACGUGCAAAUCGAUCGUCAAAUUUGGGUAUAGGGGC
This 829-nucleotide ribosomal RNA is filed under the name Pezicula ericae. RNAcentral's name for it is "eukaryotic LSU rRNA". It matches the Rfam family "Eukaryotic large subunit ribosomal RNA", at positions 78 to 924 of the family's 3401-position model. Lineage: Eukaryota; Fungi; Ascomycota; Leotiomycetes; Helotiales; Dermateaceae. The record is from RNAcentral.